AAGUAUUAAUUUAAAAUUUGAUGAAUAGGGAGUUUUGAUUUAAUUGAAAUAACAUUAAUUAUGUAUGUUUUAGUAUAGUAAUAGAACAAAUUUAUUUAUUUAUAGUGGAGUAGUACUGUGAAGGGAAAUUGAAAAAAGUUGAAAAUAAAUUUUUAGAAAAGUAAAUUAAUAUUGUACCUUGUGUAUCAGGGUUUAUUAAAAUUGGAAUAGAGAUUUAUUUUUCCCGAAUUAAAAAGAGCUAAUUUGUUAUGUUGGUUAGUGUGGUACUAUUAUCAAGAAUAGCAAGUUUGUAAUGAAAUAUUAGUCGGUUUUUAAGAUAUCUGGUUCUUCAAGUUAUGAAUUUAAUUCAGUAUUUAAUAGUA
Molecule: ribosomal RNA, 362 nt
Filed under: Anabrus simplex (Mormon cricket)
Lineage: Eukaryota; Metazoa; Arthropoda; Insecta; Orthoptera; Tettigoniidae
Description: partial large subunit ribosomal RNA
Source: RNAcentral